AUGGAGCCAGUUCAUUAUGUGCAUUUCACUGAUCCUUGGUCUGAGGUGGGGACACUUCUUCACUGCCUUCAUAAUUUUCUUGUGCUCAUUGGCCAGUUCUCUGAGGGUUGUUCAUGUGAUGUGCUGCUGGGCCAGUAUACGGCUGUCCAUGCACGUGGUUAUUCUGCUGAUACUGAGAUCCAGGUGAAUGGGGGUAUAGAGGGGCAUCUUCAGGUGGAGGUGACUCAUGUUCAUCUGGGGCAUGUGAUCUCUCCAAGAAAUAACCAUUUGAUGUUUCAUUGCUUUGCACUGGGGGAGACCAAUUGUUUUAAGUGUAUUGAGGAUUGCCGGUGUAUGUUCUUCUUUCAAGUUCAUCUCCAAGCCAUUCCACCGCCCAGGUCCACUUUCUUUUAAGAUCUCCGUUGCCCUGCAGGAUUUGGUAAGCAACAGGACAAUUGCUAAAGAGAGCUACCAUACAUUUUAUACACUGGUAGGCUCUCUUUUGAUAGUGAUUCUGGGAGCUCUGGAUUGUGUCAAAGAGUCCAUCUCGGUCAUCUGGAAUUCCUUUAAGUGCGUUAUGAAUUCUGUGAGUCUGUCAGGAGUCUUCAAUCAACAGUAUUUGCAAAAGCAGAUCCAAAUAUGGUCGGAGUUCAUAGGUGUAGGAAUAUGCAACCUGCCAAAGAAGUUCACUGAGGACAGUAGAUGAAAACUGAGGAUUCUCCCAGCAGCAAAAACAAAGUAAUUUGACUGUUUCCUCUGAGUUACUGCAGUCUUCAAUGAUUUUCUUGACAUAACUCAACAUUUUUCAAUAAUUAGCCAUGCCCACAAACAAAUUGGUUUGACAAAACAUCUUUUAAUUUUGUCAAGUGAUCAUUUUUCUCCUGGAUAAUCAGUUAAAAGUCACUUGUUAAGAAUAUAUUAAUUAUCGAUGGGCAUUGUGUUGCUAAGGGUUAAGCCUUGUCACUUGCAACACCAGAAUCCCAUAUCAGAGUGACAAUUCAAGUCCUGGGGCCUACGCUGUGGCAUAACAUUGCCUGCAUCCCAUAUGGGCACCAGUUUGAGUCCCAGCUGCCCCAUUUUCCAUCCAUCUUUCUGCUAUGGACUGAGAAAGGAAUGGAAGAUGGCCCAAGUCCUUGCACCUCUGCACUCACGUGGGAGACCUGGAGGAAGCUCCUGGCUCCUAGCUUCAGGUCGGCACAGCCAUUUGGGGAGUGAACCAAUGGAUGGAAGACCUCUCUCUCUUUCUCUCUCUCUCUCUGCUUCUACUUCUCUCUGUGUAACUCAUACUUUAAAUAAAUAAAUCCUUAACAAAAAAUUCA
This 1298-nucleotide long non-coding RNA is filed under the name Oryctolagus cuniculus (rabbit). Its description in RNAcentral is "lncRNA (ENSOCUG00000031391.1)". The record is from RNAcentral. Lineage: Eukaryota; Metazoa; Chordata; Mammalia; Lagomorpha; Leporidae.